This 497-nucleotide ribosomal RNA is filed under the name uncultured bacterium. RNAcentral's name for it is "partial 16S ribosomal RNA". It matches the Rfam family "Bacterial small subunit ribosomal RNA", at positions 28 to 507 of the family's 1533-position model. The record is from RNAcentral.
GAUGAACGCUGGCGGCGUGCUUAACACAUGCAAGUCGAGCGAAAGGACGAGAUGCUUGCUUUUCUGAUGUUAGAGGCGGACAGGACAGUAAUCCGUGGAUAACCCAACUUUUAGACUCGGAUACUAUUGGGAAACAGGAGCUAUAUAUGGCUAAUAUUAUGAAUCAAAUGUAUCUACAGUGUAAGACAGCCUUGCUGUCAAUUAUCGAUGUAUCCGGGUUGCAUUGGCUAGUGGGUAAGGUAACGACUUACCCAGGGAACGAUGCGUAGCCGACCUGAGAGGGUGGGCGGCCACCCUGGAACGGAGACAGGCUCCAAAGGCCUAGGGGAGGCAGCAGUAGGCAAUCUUGCGGAAUGGGCGAAAGCCUUACGGAGCAGCGCCGCGUGAGUGAUGAAGGUCUUCGGUGCGUAAAACGCUGUUAUUAGGGAAGAACAGAUGUGUAAGUAACUGAGAACAACUUGACGGUACCUAAUCAGAAAGCCACGGCUAACUACGUG